RNAcentral lists this ribosomal RNA (460 nucleotides) under uncultured bacterium. RNAcentral describes it as "partial 16S ribosomal RNA". It matches the Rfam family "Bacterial small subunit ribosomal RNA", at positions 338 to 795 of the family's 1533-position model. The record is from RNAcentral.
CCUACGGGAGGCAGCAGUGAGGAAUAUUGGUCAAUGGGCGCGAGCCUGAACCAGCCAAGUAGCGUGAAGGAUGACUGCCCUACGGGUUGUAAACUUCUUUUAUAAAGGAAUAAAGUGAGGCACGUGUGCCUCUUUGUAUGUACUUUAUGAAUAAGCAUCGUCUAACUCCGUCCCAGCAGCCGCGGUAAUACGGAGGAUACGAGCUUUCUCCGGAUUUAUUGGGUUUAAAGGGAGCGUAGAUGGGUUGUUAAGUCAGUUGUGAAAGUUUGCGGCUCAACCGUAAAAUUGCAAUGGAUACUGGCAGCCUUGAGUACAGUUGGGGUAGGCGGAAUGCGUGGUGUAGCGGUGAAAUGCUUAGAUAUCACGAAGAACACCGAUUGCGAAGGCAGCCUACUAAACUGUCACUGACAUUGAUGCUCGAAAGUGUGGGUAGCAAACAGGAUUAGAUACCCUUGUAGUC